AAUACCUGCCCAUCAUUUGCUUGCUAUCUCCUUUCCACGGGCUUUUAUUCAUCUCUGUACUGCCCUCCAAUAUACCUUUCCAGCUAAAGACACAGUCAAGUGGACAGGGUUUGGUUUUGUUUUUCUUUUCACCCAACGCUUUUGUAUAUUUCUGAAACUUAAGCCACCGCAUAUACUACUACAGUACUUAUCUGUAACACCAUCGCUUUGAGGGAUUAAAGUAGGUUACUUGUUACACACUUAGAUCAAGCGUUAUCUGAGUAGAGAGUCUACUCCGUUAGGGAUGGCGGAAUCUGUUUUUGAUCUUGAGUUGUUUUGAUUUUCUUUGAGAGCGGUAACAUGUUAUUUUAACUUCUGAAUAAGGUGUGCUACCUGACUGAGUCUCUUCUCUUCUUUGGCAGAAAGGAUUAGAAACCUCCACCGAACUUGCAGUCUAUUAAAGCUGAGUGCUCUCCAUUGAGCAGCAAGGAACUGAAUUGUUUUCAGAUUACAUGUGUGUGUGUGUCUUUCCCACAUCAAAGACUUCGAUGGAAGCUGUUCACACUAUUGUCAGGAAUGCAGGGAUUGGCACAAAGAAACAAGAAUUGGGAAGGAAAACGCCAACAUCCCGAAGUCUCAAGUCAAAACCUCUCCAUCUGAUAAGGUCUGUCAGCUGCAAGCAAACUGAUUCACUGUCUAUCUUUCUCCAGGAUGUGUGGACUACCCUGUGCAUGUAAUCCUCAAUGAGAGUCACCCGGGUGCACAGAUAAGAGAUCCCAAAGAAGGCUGCUUGGGUUGGAAGUGAGUUGCCACAUCACAUUUUCUUCACAACCUCUCCCAGCACUCAGAGAAGUUUCUGCCACCCAAAGACCACACUAACCUAUGAUCAAUUGACUUACGAGGAAAGAUGGAAAGACCCAAACAUGGACGCUGGCAAGUGCUGAUUCUGGUGGGGAGAGAGCAGGACCGCUCAUUCUAAGUGGAAUGUGCUCUACCAAAGACCCUUAUGGUCAGACCUUUCCCCUCCCAGCCCAAGUAAGCUGCAACAGCAGGUAAGGAAUCUUUCGGCUGCUUAUCUGAUUCCAACUAGAACCCAGUGAAGUCGUGGUUUGACCAUUGCUAGCUCUGUCACCUUCCCUGAUUGCCUGUGUUUGCUCACCUGUCAUCAGAACGGGAGACUUCUGGGAUCCUUUCACAUCAACCAUUACCAUGGCACAUGCAAAAGAAAUGCAGUGGUGCCAAAUAUCGCAAUUUCAUUGCGAGUUCAAUGAUAGCUGGUGUUUUUCUGAAAACUCCAGCUCCUGGAGUCAUGUGAUUAGCUGAAAAUCCCAGGUGGUUUUUUUUUUUUAGUAAGUUUCUCACCUUCAUAGUUGCUGAGAAAAGCUUAUAAAUGUGAAAACUGAAGAGUUAAAAAACAGAAAUCAAAUCAAAUAAUCCCAGGAUUUAUUACAGUAUUUCUAAAAUCUCAUGAUU
This is a long non-coding RNA of Trachemys scripta elegans, 1452 nucleotides long. RefSeq lists it as uncharacterized. Lineage: Eukaryota; Metazoa; Chordata; Testudines; Emydidae. The transcript has 4 exons. The record is from RefSeq and is a predicted model, not a curated record.